GGGUUGUGAGGUUAAGCGACUAAGCGUACACGGUGGAUGCCCUGGCAGUCAGAGGCGAUGAAGGACGUGCUAAUCUGCGAUAAGCGUCGGUAAGGUGAUAUGAACCGUUAUAACCGGCGAUUUCCGAAUGGGGAAACCCAGUGUGUUUCGACACACUAUCAUUAACUGAAUCCAUAGGUUAAUGAGGCGAACCGGGGGAACUGAAACAUCUAAGUACCCCGAGGAAAAGAAAUCAACCGAGAUUCCCCCAGUAGCGGCGAGCGAACGGGGAGCAGCCCAGAGCCUGAAUCAGUGUGUGUGUUAGUGGAAGCGUCUGGAAAGGCGCGCGAUACAGGGUGACAGCCCCGUACACAAAAAUGCACAUGCUGUGAGCUCGAUGAGUAGGGCGGGACACGUGGUAUCCUGUCUGAAUAUGGGGGGACCAUCCUCCAAGGCUAAAUACUCCUGACUGACCGAUAGUGAACCAGUACCGUGAGGGAAAGGCGAAAAGAACCCCGGCGAGGGGAGUGAAAAAGAACCUGAAACCGUGUACGUACAAGCAGUGGGAGCACGCUUAGGCGUGUGACUGCGUACCUUUUGUAUAAUGGGUCAGCGACUUAUAUUCUGUAGCAAGGUUAACCGAAUAGGGGAGCCGAAGGGAAACCGAGUCUUAACUGGGCGUUAAGUUGCAGGGUAUAGACCCGAAACCCGGUGAUCUAGCCAUGGGCAGGUUGAAGGUUGGGUAACACUAACUGGAGGACCGAACCGACUAAUGUUGAAAAAUUAGCGGAUGACUUGUGGCUGGGGGUGAAAGGCCAAUCAAACCGGGAGAUAGCUGGUUCUCCCCGAAAGCUAUUUAGGUAGCGCCUCGUGAAUUCAUCUCCGGGGGUAGAGCACUGUUUCGGCAAGGGGGUCAUCCCGACUUACCAACCCGAUGCAAACUGCGAAUACCGGAGAAUGUUAUCACGGGAGACACACGGCGGGUGCUAACGUCCGUCGUGAAGAGGGAAACAACCCAGACCGCCAGCUAAGGUCCCAAAGUCAUGGUUAAGUGGGAAACGAUGUGGGAAGGCCCAGACAGCCAGGAUGUUGGCUUAGAAGCAGCCAUCAUUUAAAGAAAGCGUAAUAGCUCACUGGUCGAGUCGGCCUGCGCGGAAGAUGUAACGGGGCUAAACCAUGCACCGAAGCUGCGGCAGCGACGCUGAUGCGUUGUUGGGUAGGGGAGCGUUCUGUAAGCCUGCGAAGGUGUGCUGUGAGGCAUGCUGGAGGUAUCAGAAGUGCGAAUGCUGACAUAAGUAACGAUAAAGCGGGUGAAAAGCCCGCUCGCCGGAAGACCAAGGGUUCCUGUCCAACGUUAAUCGGGGCAGGGUGAGUCGACCCCUAAGGCGAGGCCGAAAGGCGUAGUCGAUGGGAAACAGGUUAAUAUUCCUGUACUUGGUGUUACUGCGAAGGGGGGACGGAGAAGGCUAUGUUGGCCGGGCGACGGUUGUCCCGGUUUAAGCGUGUAGGCUGGUUUUCCAGGCAAAUCCGGAAAAUCAAGGCUGAGGCGUGAUGACGAGGCACUACGGUGCUGAAGCAACAAAUGCCCUGCUUCCAGGAAAAGCCUCUAAGCAUCAGGUAACAUCAAAUCGUACCCCAAACCGACACAGGUGGUCAGGUAGAGAAUACCAAGGCGCUUGAGAGAACUCGGGUGAAGGAACUAGGCAAAAUGGUGCCGUAACUUCGGGAGAAGGCACGCUGAUAUGUAGGUGAGGUCCCUCGCGGAUGGAGCUGAAAUCAGUCGAAGAUACCAGCUGGCUGCAACUGUUUAUUAAAAACACAGCACUGUGCAAACACGAAAGUGGACGUAUACGGUGUGACGCCUGCCCGGUGCCGGAAGGUUAAUUGAUGGGGUUAGCGCAAGCGAAGCUCUUGAUCGAAGCCCCGGUAAACGGCGGCCGUAACUAUAACGGUCCUAAGGUAGCGAAAUUCCUUGUCGGGUAAGUUCCGACCUGCACGAAUGGCGUAAUGAUGGCCAGGCUGUCUCCACCCGAGACUCAGUGAAAUUGAACUCGCUGUGAAGAUGCAGUGUACCCGCGGCAAGACGGAAAGACCCCGUGAACCUUUACUAUAGCUUGACACUGAACAUUGAGCCUUGAUGUGUAGGAUAGGUGGGAGGCUUAGAAGUGUGGACGCCAGUCUGCAUGGAGCCGACCUUGAAAUACCACCCUUUAAUGUUUGAUGUUCUAACGUGGACCCGUAAUCCGGGUUGCGGACAGUGUCUGGUGGGUAGUUUGACUGGGGCGGUCUCCUCCUAAAGAGUAACGGAGGAGCACGAAGGUUGGCUAAUCCUGGUCGGACAUCAGGAGGUUAGUGCAAUGGCAUAAGCCAGCUUGACUGCGAGCGUGACGGCGCGAGCAGGUGCGAAAGCAGGUCAUAGUGAUCCGGUGGUUCUGAAUGGAAGGGCCAUCGCUCAACGGAUAAAAGGUACUCCGGGGAUAACAGGCUGAUACCGCCCAAGAGUUCAUAUCGACGGCGGUGUUUGGCACCUCGAUGUCGGCUCAUCACAUCCUGGGGCUGAAGUAGGUCCCAAGGGUAUGGCUGUUCGCCAUUUAAAGUGGUACGCGAGCUGGGUUUAGAACGUCGUGAGACAGUUCGGUCCCUAUCUGCCGUGGGCGCUGGAGAACUGAGGGGGGCUGCUCCUAGUACGAGAGGACCGGAGUGGACGCAUCACUGGUGUUCGGGUUGUCAUGCCAAUGGCACUGCCCGGUAGCUAAAUGCGGAAGAGAUAAGUGCUGAAAGCAUCUAAGCACGAAACUUGCCCCGAGAUGAGUUCUCCCUGACUCCUUGAGAGUCCUGAAGGAACGUUGAAGACGACGACGUUGAUAGGCCGGGUGUGUAAGCGCAGCGAUGCGUUGAGCUAACCGGUACUAAUGAACCGUGAGGCUUAACCUUACAACGCCGAAG
Molecule: ribosomal RNA, 2925 nt
Filed under: Escherichia coli
Lineage: Bacteria; Pseudomonadati; Pseudomonadota; Gammaproteobacteria; Enterobacterales; Enterobacteriaceae
Description: 23S ribosomal RNA
Rfam family: Bacterial large subunit ribosomal RNA
Source: RNAcentral